RNAcentral lists this transfer RNA (71 nucleotides) under Trichonephila inaurata madagascariensis. It matches the Rfam family "tRNA". From Rfam's summary of the family: Transfer RNA (tRNA) molecules are approximately 80 nucleotides in length. Their secondary structure includes four short double-helical elements and three loops (D, anti-codon, and T loops). Lineage: Eukaryota; Metazoa; Arthropoda; Arachnida; Araneae; Nephilidae. The record is from Rfam by way of RNAcentral.
GCCGAAAUAGCUCAGUUGGAGAGUGUUAGACUGAAGAUCUAAAGGUCCCUGGUUCAAUCCGUGUUUCGGCA